AGCCUCUGUGAUGAUUGAAAGUGAUGCAGGCGUAGCAAUUGACAGACAAGCAAGAGGUGCUUGUUGGGCUGGUGAAGCGGGAUGUGCCGCCUCGUGUUGGAGACAAGGACGAAGAAAUGGUGGUUGCUGUGGACAAAGUCAUACAAGAUGCCAUGGAACUUGCUACUGUAACGGGAGUGGCUAUACACAUCGUUGCUACAGCUGUGAUUUGUAAUGUAUUGACAACAAUGAUGGACUGAAACAAGAUCUUGAAAGACUACUACAGACUUUUUAUUCGAACUCUAACUCUUUCUUUAUACGAAUCUAUAUGCUGCAUAUUUUUCUUUCUAUAUGAAUAAAAAUACGUUGUCUGUA
Molecule: long non-coding RNA, 354 nt
Organism: Mytilus trossulus (common blue mussel)
Lineage: Eukaryota; Metazoa; Mollusca; Bivalvia; Mytilida; Mytilidae
Exons: 3
Source: RefSeq, a predicted model, not a curated record